GAGGGUACAGCUCAAGUGGUAAAGUGAAUGUUUAGCAUGCAUGAGGUUCUGGGUUCAAUCCCCGGUACCUCCU
This 73-nucleotide transfer RNA is filed under the name Camelus bactrianus (Bactrian camel). It matches the Rfam family "tRNA". Rfam says of the family: Transfer RNA (tRNA) molecules are approximately 80 nucleotides in length. Their secondary structure includes four short double-helical elements and three loops (D, anti-codon, and T loops). The record is from Rfam by way of RNAcentral. RNAcentral also lists the same sequence under 2 other names. Lineage: Eukaryota; Metazoa; Chordata; Mammalia; Artiodactyla; Camelidae.